GACUCCCCACGCAGGGCCGCGCUCCCAACAGCCGGGCGCCGGCGGGAGAGUCUGUAACCCGCCCCGGCCCAGCGCCUCCCGGCCGGGCGCCUGCGUGAGCCCGGCCAUUACCAGCGCGGCUGCGGCGCGGUGAGCAGAGCCAAGGCGCAUCCUGCACUUCCUUCCACUGGUUCCACCCGGACGACAGGAAUGUGGCAUGGACAGGAACCAGAGGUCACAGACCUGCGGGGCUGAGGCGACUCUGCCGGCGCCCGUCGAGCUGGGGUUGAUAGGAAGUCGGUGCUUGCUUCAGGGUUUGCAGUCUCUUCAAACCUGGAUUAUGAAGGAUACCAUAAAAAUAUGGAUAAAAUGCUUCCUCCCCACAGUGCCAUACGUUAUGGCCUGCACCCCAAUGUGGAGAUUGCUUUUGUAAUAACUGCGGACAACGCGCUCCACAUGCUAUUAGAGCUGCAAUUCAAAUACUUGGUCACGAAGGAGUGACUGGGGAAGGAGUCUCCUAAGCUGUGGAAGACAAGAAUAUGAAAGACUGGAUCUGCUCAUACAUGAAGUAAGGCAAUCCAUAGAAGAGAAGGCAAGCAGCUGUUGGAUGCCUCGAGAGACCUUCUGAUGGCAAAAAUGAGCACUACUUUGUAUAGAUCCCUGCUGGAAAAGGCACAUGGUUCAGAUUGUGUUAAAUGAUCAACUUCUCCAAAGCCAUCAGGAUAUGGCAUUUGGCUGUCAUUAGGAGAUGGCCACUAACUGCAGGGUGAGUUGGCAAUCUCCUCAGAGAUGGAGCAACUACAGACAGCUCUUUUUUUUGAUAAUCUUCCUGACACUUGGAUGAGACUGGCUUAUCCAUCAACAUACAGUUGCUCAGUGGUAGCCUCCUGAGUGAGGCAAAGAGCCACUGGCUGAUGGAGCUAACCAGGACUCCAGAGCUGACCAAAGGACAGGAAAGCUCUGCCAAGCACAAAGACAGGUAGCACUAGAAGGCAAAGCAAGCCCACACUUCUGACAUCAGUUCAGACUUCUGAGAGAUCAAAAGUGGAAGAAGAAAUCUUGUUCAGCAGAGGAGACAUUGAGAAAAACACCAGAGGUACAUUGUGGUGAAGAUCAAUCAGAGCUUUACGGAAUUAAAUGCUCUUUUAGCUUUUCUUGAUGGAAAACUAAACCACCAUAGAGAUACUGUGAUGUCUGUGAUAAAUAUAUGUCCUGAAGACAGAAAGCGUUGCCUAGGGGAUAUAACACAGUAAUGCUAAAUUACAAGCUGUUUUCCUGAAGGACAACACAGCUGCUUUCUUUAAAAAAAUAUAUGGGGGAUUCAAGCUGGACCUUACAUUCACGUUUGGACAAAGGAGGGUAAAAGUACCCACUGAUUAUAUAAAAGCUAUCUUGCAGAACUAGUAGGAUUUAAGGUGACAGAUUAUCUUUUACCAUCAGGUGCAAAAUGCAGUGAGUCACCAGGGAGUGAAAUCAUUGCUGUGCAGCAGUGUUAUGCAGCUGGGCUCGGAGACAGCUUCCCUGCUGGAGCACAGCGUGUUCGGGAGGCACUGCAGAGCAGCUGAAAGGGAGACACCAGGGAGGUUACACAGACACAGGGCUGGUGGAGUGGUCAGCCUAGCCCAGCUCUCAGUUCCCUGCAUUUGGGGAGGCGAAAAAAAACAACAGAGACUGAAAAGAAACCUUGAAUCACUGUCAUGUCUAAAACCCCAUAGUAAUUGUCAGUAACAGGAGCUGUGAGCUUCCUCCAGGGAAGGACAUUCUCCCUGUCAUGCAUGCUGCAAAGAAUGCAGAAGCCUCAAGUCAUCAUGAUAGUUUUAUCUUCCCUGUUUUAAACCCCUCUGUCUUUUAUAUACCUACCUGAAAUGCCACCAUCUGAGACAUCUGAAAAAACGCCUUUCAUUUCUAAGCAGCUGACAUUUUAAAGUAAGGUGGGACAGGGUGAGGAGGUAAAGGGAAAAAUCAGAAUAUACAGUGCACAGUUUAACAUGUUGGGCUCAGCAAAUGCGUCAGAAACAGCAAACACAAGUGAUAAAAUGAUGGAGAUCAUCGGAUCACCUAGUAAUCUCAGUUUAUCUUCAGGAUCAUUUUCUGUGUCUUUGAAAUGAACACAAAUUCUGUUAAUGCUGGCCCUAUAUGUCACCUAUUUUAUGUUUCUGUGGAGGAGUCACCUCUUGCCUCUAAGCCAGCAGUCUCCUCUCUCUGGCUUAGAGGCACUCAACUGUCCCCAGGGCACAUUUGUCUAGGAUUUCUUCACAGCAGCAUUUUAGGAAGCAAGAAGCAAAACCACAGACUGCCAAAAAACCCCUCAGCUGGAAAGGUGGGGAUGUGACACCAGAGAUCUUAAAUGGAGUAAAAAGAAAAUAAACCAAGCUGAUACUUUCUUUUUCAGGCCACAGAACUUCAGCAGAUAGGGAAAUAAAGUGUGGAGGAAAGACAAAGAUGGAAACUCGUGUCAUGGGUCAUCCAGAUUUCUGGAAAUCUGCAAAAU
Molecule: long non-coding RNA, 2470 nt
Organism: Ficedula albicollis (Collared flycatcher)
Lineage: Eukaryota; Metazoa; Chordata; Aves; Passeriformes; Muscicapidae
Exons: 6
Source: RefSeq, a predicted model, not a curated record